GGCCUCGUACCUCAGCUGGUAGAGCAUGCGCGUACAAAGUGUGGGCGGUGUCCAUGCGUGAGUUCGAAUCCCACCGAGGCUA
Non-coding RNA from Echinostoma caproni, 82 nucleotides. NCBI's taxonomy places the organism in Eukaryota, Metazoa, Platyhelminthes, Trematoda, Plagiorchiida, Echinostomatidae. The record is from Rfam.